AAAGUCGUAACAAGGUCUCCGUAGGUGAACCUGCGGAGGGAUCAUUAACAAAAGGCCCCACGGGCCUCGAACCCUCAAUCACCGUGGAAGCAAGUCGUGCUUCGGCCGCUCCGCCGCCCCUGGAGUCGGACGGCCGCAUCCAUGCAUCGUCGUAUGUGGUGUCUGAAUGGAAAAGAAAACAAUCAAAACUUUCAACGACGGAUCUCUUGGCUCUC
RNAcentral lists this unclassified non-coding RNA (215 nucleotides) under Ascomycota sp. Its description in RNAcentral is "partial contains small subunit ribosomal RNA, internal transcribed spacer 1, and 5.8S ribosomal RNA". The stretch from base 1 to 47 matches the Rfam family "Eukaryotic small subunit ribosomal RNA", at positions 1785 to 1831 of the family's 1831-position model. Lineage: Eukaryota; Fungi; Ascomycota. The record is from RNAcentral.